ACCCGCUGAACUUAAGCAUAUCAAUAAGCGGAGGAAAAGAAACCAACAGGGAUUGCCUCAGUAACGGCGAGUGAAGCGGCAACAGCUCAAAUUUGAAAUCUGGCCUCACGGUCCGAGUUGUAAUUUGUAGAGGAUGUUUUGGGUACCGCCACGGUUUAAAUUUCUUGGAACAGAAUGUCAAAGAGGGUGAGAGUCCCGUCUUGGACCGCGGUAGGGCCUGUGUAAAACUCCUUCGACGAGUCGACUUGUUUGGGAAUGCAGGUCAAAAUGGGUGGUAAAUUUCAUCUAAAGCUAAAUAUUGGCCAGAGACCGAUAGCGCACAAGUAGAGUGAUCGAAAGAUGAAAAGCACUUUGAAAAGAGAGUUAAACAGUAUGUGAAAUUGUUGAAAGGGAAGCGCUGGCAACCAGACUCGUGCGCGGGGUUCCCCCUUGCUUCUGCUUGGGUUACUUCCCCGUGUCCGGGCCAUCAUCAGUUUCGGGGGCCGGUUAAAGGCCUUGGGAAUGUAUCCACGCCUUCGGGUGUGGACUUAUAGCCCAGGGUGUCAUGCGGCCACUCGGGACUGAGGAACGCGCUUCGGCGAGGAUGAUGGCGUAAUGGUUGU
This 602-nucleotide ribosomal RNA is filed under the name uncultured fungus. Its description in RNAcentral is "eukaryotic LSU rRNA". It matches the Rfam family "Eukaryotic large subunit ribosomal RNA", at positions 23 to 641 of the family's 3401-position model. The record is from RNAcentral. Lineage: Eukaryota; Fungi.